AAUUUAACUUCUAUUGCUACAGAUCUCUGGGAGAUACUUGGCACUACUUUUUAGGUAGCACUGAAAGAAAUAGCUCUCUCUUGGACGUUAUUCCUUUGGAGAAGGAAAGAAAGUGAUGGCAGAAUAGUAGUAGAUCCAAAGUCAGAUACCAGUCCUCUUCUGUCUGUUGAAAUUGAUGGCAAGUAUUGGGACACUCAAUUUACUGAAAAAGGGAUGAGUUGACAUACUGCAGCUGAGACAGAGCAAGAUAUGUAAAUGUGGGACAAGUGAGGUUUGAGGUUAUAUCACUACAAACCAGUGGUUGGCUGAAGGUUAUGAAGCACCACUGAAGAAGCUUUGGGUGUGAGGGUAG
Non-coding RNA from Pelobates cultripes (western spadefoot toad), 352 nucleotides. Lineage: Eukaryota; Metazoa; Chordata; Amphibia; Anura; Pelobatidae. The record is from the annotation of a GenBank genome assembly.